Molecule: transfer RNA, 78 nt
Filed under: Candidatus Thorarchaeota archaeon
Lineage: Archaea; Promethearchaeati; Candidatus Thorarchaeota
Description: tRNA-Glu
Rfam family: tRNA
About the family: Transfer RNA (tRNA) molecules are approximately 80 nucleotides in length.
Source: RNAcentral
GCCCCGGUGGUGUAGUCCGGCCCAGCAUUUAGGACUUUCGCUCCUGCGACCCGGGUUCAAAUCCCGGCCGGGGCACCA